This 71-nucleotide transfer RNA is filed under the name uncultured Yaniella sp. It matches the Rfam family "tRNA". From Rfam's summary of the family: Transfer RNA (tRNA) molecules are approximately 80 nucleotides in length. Their secondary structure includes four short double-helical elements and three loops (D, anti-codon, and T loops). The record is from RNAcentral. Lineage: Bacteria; Bacillati; Actinomycetota; Actinomycetes; Micrococcales; Micrococcaceae.
CGGAUGUAGCUCAGCUGGCUAGAGCACCACCUUGCCAAGGUGUGGGUCGCGGGUUCGAAUCCCGUCAUCCG